AUUGAACGCUGGCGGCAUGCUUUACACAUGCAAGUCGAACGGCAGCGCGGUCUUCGGCCUGGCGGCGAGUGGCGAACGGGUGAGUAAUGCAUCGGAACGUGCCCAGUAGUGGGGGAUAGCCCGGCGAAAGCCGGAUUAAUACCGCAUACGACCUGAGGGUGAAAGCGGGGGACCGAAAGGCCUCGCGCUAUUUGAGCGGCCGAUGUCGGAUUAGCUAGUUGGUGGGGUAAAGGCUUACCAAGGCGACGAUCCGGAGCUGGUCUGAGAGGACGACCAGCCACACUGGGACUGAGACACGGCCCAGACUCCUACGGGAGGCAGCAGUGGGGAAUUUUGGACAAUGGGGGCAACCCUGAUCCAGCCAUGCCGCGUGCGGGAAGAAGGCCUUCGGGUUGUAAACCGCUUUUGUUCGGGAAGAAACCGUAUGGGCUAAUAUCCCGGGGUGAUGACGGUACCGGAAGAAUAAGCACCGGCUAACUACGUG
This 484-nucleotide ribosomal RNA is filed under the name uncultured bacterium. RNAcentral's name for it is "partial 16S ribosomal RNA". It matches the Rfam family "Bacterial small subunit ribosomal RNA", at positions 29 to 507 of the family's 1533-position model. The record is from RNAcentral.